CUCAAAACCGUAACUCCCAAAUCUGUCCAAGUUUUGUUCAUGGCUAUUUUCAUAGCUUCCGCAAUCUCUCUCAACUUCGUAGCCAUAAAACCCCUCACUAUAAUCAUAGUCUCCCAUGUUGUAGUCAUAAUAAUCCCAGCUAUCGAAGACAUGUUCCCCUUCUAUCACCUUUGUACCUACACAAUGAACAAACAAGAUUAGUAGUAAAAGCUUCUCACUAACACUCGUAUACACUCACCUUUGUGAUUCUCACAAUUGGAGUGGCGAAUAUUGAAAGUUGCUUAUAAUUCGGUAGUCAAUAGGAUGUCAAUUCUACUUGGCGGCCGAAAUAGAUUCUUGUUUGAUCGACUCAAGACACAAAAAUAAAAUUUACCUACGAACUUGAAACAAAGAAGUUACUACUAGUUAAAAACAAGAAAAAGCACACAAAUAACGAAGACAUGAAACAAACGGACUCUACAACUAACUUACAAUCUAGUAGGAGAUUACUAGUUUAUUAAUUAGUGUUCAAACCAACAAACAGAACUAGGAAACAAUAAAAUGAAACUAAGAAAUCUGAAAUUUGAGCUUAAAAAUUGUCGGUGACCAGUAAAAAAUGUGAUGUGGCAGCCACGUAUUGGUUGCGGCUGUUAUCAAAUUUUAUUUUCUAAUUCAAGUCUUGGUCCAAUUGUAAUUUGAAAUUGGUGGGAAUUGGUUAAGGAGAGAAAACAAGUCUUGAAAUCCUAUUUCAAAUUCAAAAAGCAAGACUUGACUUUUCUCCUCAAGACAUGGUCCUUAAAUCAUGGAAGGUUGUUGAAAAAGUGGUUGUUAAAGUCCUUGAGUGGUUGGAAUUGGUUGUAAAAGUCUUGAGAGGUCUUAAAUUUUGGAAACAUGUCUUUCAAGACUAACAAAAUACACACUCUCUUUCUUCAACUUUCAAGAUCAAACAUCCACUUUUUCAUGAACUAUAGAUGAAGAUGUGAAGAACACUAAUAACACAUUUUUUUGAAUCUUGAAGUUCUAAGGUUCAAGUUGGACCCCAAACAUCAACAAUAUCUUUCCAAGCUUAAAAAUACAACACAAUAACCACCAUACACAUUCAAACCUUGAACCAAAAACAAACCACACAUCCAAUCUUUGAAUCCGUAACAACAAUACCAACAACAAUCACACGGCCAAAGUUUAGGUUCACAACAACAACAACAACAAUUAAAGCUCAAAACUAGAUCUAGAUUUCUUUAGUGUUAAGAGGUGAAGAAGCUAACACUAGAAACAACAAAACAAAUAAAAUGACUCCUAUAUCUAGACUCAAAACAAGAAAAAUCUAGGUCAAGACACAACAAGAACAUAAUUUCGGCCAAGACAAAAGAAUGGACAGAUUUGCUUCUUUUUGAAAUUUUCAGAUUUCAACUUUUUUUUUUUUUGAAUUUUUUAACAAGAAAGCCCAAGAUUGAUCUUACACGAACAAGAUCUAGCCAUGCUCUGAUAUCAAGUGAUACGAGAAAGAAAACGGAAGACACAAAACACACUCCAAAUCAGUCCACUAAUCUUAAGGAUUCGAGGACCAAGAUGGAAACCACACUCAGAUUCGCUACCAACAAUAAGAAUACAAGAUACAAGGGUGUAUUUCAACACCAAAACAGCUAUAAAAUGUGAUGAACAAUAUCAACAACAAUAACACAAGUUUCGGAUUCAAUAAAUGACCCAAAACAGUCCACUACACAAGAUAACAACAACAAAAGUAAAGGAUAGAUAGUGAGACCAAGAUUAUUACAAGAUUAAGAACUAAAGAGUGUAUGAAAAUCAAAAAACCCUAAUGAAUGUAAUAAUCAAAACCACACUCUUACGGUGACCGCCAAGGGAAUCAACUCACCUCAAGAUCCACCGUUUCCAAGCAAAGAUCAAUACUAGCUUUUUCAAGCCCUAACUAAGAACUAUACUAAGGUGUUGCACUCUCCAAAGAGAGAAUAAGUCUCUCAAAUGUUCAUCAUUCAUUAACUAAUGAGAGAAGACCAAAAAAAAAUCCUAAUUCUAGUAUAUUACAAAAGAAUGCAAAAAAGACUACACUACCCUUAAUGACCAAGGGUGGCCUUGGUGUGUUGGAAAACAAUAUGAAUUGUCCAAAAUGCCCUUAAGGCUAAGUGACCAAAAAGCCCUUAAUAAAGGGCGCCAAAACCGUGAACCAACAAAGGUGGUCCAAACCCAAGAGUCCUUAAGUCUUCAAGGCUCCAAGCAAUCUUCCACACUCGGGUUUGAUCAAUGGUAGGCUCAAAACGUCCCCUCCAAGUAUGAUCCCAUGGUGAUCAAAGCUUGAUUCUUCACAUAGUUACUGUGAAUGAUGUCGUCGAAAGCUAAGGCGGCCAUUAUUCUUGUAUCAAGACAUGCCCCAGUUUUUAUAUGAAACAUUUUCUUUACCCCUAAUCCUAGGGAACUUUUCAUAGUAUCUUCUGUACCCUUCAUUUUCCCAAUUAUUUUCUCUAGCUCUUCAGGCACGCUAGGCUUCUUGUUAAGAAAUUUUGGUGGCCCAAUUAACUUAAAUGUAGGCUUAAGAGUAUAACAAUGAUCACCAAGAGUAUCGAGCAUGGAUCCACCAACAGCAUAGGCAAGUACAACUAUUUGGCAGCUAGCCAAUGUGGUUGUCUCAGCAGAGGAUUGAGCAACAAAAUCACAGACGACAUGUGGUGUUGUGAAUAUAGUUGGCUUAUGCUGAGUUUCUAGAGAAAGAGUGGUGAAAGUAUGGGAAUGCUUUUGGCUUUGAUUGAAUUCUGAGUCAUGUUGCAGUGCAUCAACAAUAGUAGAAAACUAACUUUGCAAUUUUGGUGGAAGACUCAAGGUAUUUGUAGGAUCAAUAGUGGAGCAUGGAGGAGGAGGCAGCCCACUAGCCCAAGAUCGAUACAUUUCCAUCAUUUGUUGUCUUAGUCUCAAAUUUUCUUCCUUUAAACUCUCAAUUUCUUGACUCUUUGUUUGAUCCAUGAGGUCACUCUCUAUAUUUUUGUUGGAUACAGUUAAACCUUCCUUAGAUUUGGUGUGAUAUAGAGGACCAGCUACAAUAUUACAAUGCCACAAACCAACCACCUUAAACUAACUGAACAAGAGACAAUAAACGUGUUAGCGUGCAACACUUUUUCAAAACUCUUUUUUUGCUUUUCUUUUGAAAAGAUCACUGAACCCAAGAAGGGCGCCUACGUAUCUCACUCCCGAGAGAGGACAAUCAAGUGUGCGUAGUUCGUGAAGUUUAGCCAAAAUGACCAAUUAAACUCUUUUUCUUUCUUUUUCUUUUUCUUUAAACUUUAAAAAGAAAAUAAAAUAACAAAUUGUCAAAAGAAUUGAUGAAAAUCUUUGUGCAUUUUACAGGUUUAAACUCUCUAUACAAAAUGAAACAUAUGAUUACCAAAGAAAAAUCUUUUAGGGUUUUUGAUGUUGAAUUUCAUAGGAAAAUGAAACUGAAACUAUUAGAACAAAAAACUUUUUUGUAGUUUUCUUUUAAAGAUAUAUAUAAACACCUGCUCUAAUAAAGAGUGAAGAAAAUCUUUUGGGAUGUUUUUUAAAUAAGAUCCCCGAACCAACAAUAGGCUGCCUAUGUAUCUCUCCCGAGAGAGGAGAAUCAGGGGUGCAUAGUUCGUCCAGAUUGGACGAUUAAAGAUAUUGAUGAACCAUCACUUGAGGGACACGACAAAGGCAAACGAUGAAAAACGUCAAUAAAAUCCUUUUUAAGUUUUGAAUUUGACACUCAACAUAAAAAUGACACCAACUAUACGAGAAAAAUCUUUUUGCUAUUUUCAUUAUAUGAAAUGUACAAAACUUCUACCAUUUUUUUUUGAAUUUUUCUUUUAUAAAAACUCUUAUGAAUGAAAAUGUUUUUGAAAUUUUUGAAUUAUGAAUACUUACUAAAGGAACAAAAGGGAAAUGUUUUUGAUGUUUUUUUUUAUUUUGAGAAGAUGAGUGCAAAUGGUAAUUGUUUUUUUUGAAUUUUUGGGUUGUGAAGAACAAAAGCCAUAAAGAACGCUAAAAAUAAACUACGAAACUCUUUUUUGAUUCAUUCUCCUCGUUUUUUUUUGAAUUUUCAUUACCUACACACUUUACUUCUAAUACAUGCUUUCCCCCAAAUCCAUCCGUCAAAUGACCACGUUACCCUCAAAUAUGCAACAUUUAGCACAUAGGGAUACUUUAGAGGUGAGCCUCCUACAAAGGACCAAGUGGGUCCUGCUAGGUCUCAAUAUGAUGCACAUAAGCACGCCCUAAAGUCUAACCUACGUUGGAUUUCACUAACAAGGCUGUUCGGGGGAGCGUAUAGUCGAUAGGGGCUGCGAGAGCUUUCCACCCACCCUAUAAAACCGAUGGUUCCCCAUCCUAAAAGAAGGGUGAAUCAACUAGAGGUCGUUUAUAAUACGUGUACUACAAACUUGUUGCAGAAAGACUGACUCGGGUUAUGCACAUGAUGCCGAUAUAAAGUGGUAACACAUAAGAUAAAAACUGUAAAUAAAGAGCAUGUAAGCACUCAACAAUGAGAAACAAUAACACAAAACAACACAAACAAUGUUUGUACACCCAUAAUGUCAAACAAAGUCGAUACAACUCCAAAAAUUAGCUUGAAUUAUGAAAAGUCCCCUGCGGAGUCGCCAAAGCUAUCACACCCCUUUUUAACUAAAAAGAUUCAGAUUUUAAGUUCGAAAAAUAUUUUUAUUAUUAAGGUGACAAAAGAUUUAAAAAUUUUUUUGAAAAGAAAUUAUUUUCAUUUUUUAUUCAGAGUCGCCACUUGGCACAAUCCGGUGUGCCAAGUCACCUUUGGAAAGUCCUUUUCAAAAUAGUUUGACUCUUUAAAAUUGGUUUACGAAUAGAGAUUCUGAUUAAGGGAUUCUGUUGACCUCGAUCUUGUGGUUCUACCGCGAUCUCUUGGUGGAGCGUAUCGGCUAAAUUGACUUCACAAAUAUAUAAACCCACACAAAACAUGUACAAACAAUCAAUCAAACUCACGAAACAAACAAAUCCAAAAUACAAUGUUCAGUCCAAUUAUAUGAAAUAAAAAAUUACGAAAAAUAAAUCCUAUUCUAACCUACACUAAUCCUAACUAUGCUCCCAUGCUUUACCCGAUACCUCGGGUCUUCAUCAUGAAUGUCUUUCACCAAUAUAAUUCGUCAGGGAAUGUUCAAUAAAUACAAUGUGUCUCGGAACAUUCCCCGGCUAAAUGAAUACAUUUGAAUUAAAUACGGUAAACUAGAAAGAAACAUUCAACACAUUUAUCAUUUCACGCAUUCACUCAAACAUCAUUCCUAAGUUUGUCUACCCGAACCUACAUUUGCCUAUCUGAUUCAAUGCAUCAUAACACUAUCGAAUUCACAAACUUAAUUCCGAAUUAACCAUAACAAUAACAAACUAACAUUAAUCUAACUUCACCCUUUUUAUCAAUCACGCAAUUCCACCCCCCAACUUCUUUUUAUCAAUCACCAUUAAAACAUGAUCAAAUUCAUCCCUGAAACCAGAGUACUCCCUCAAACCACCGAAGUCGAAUCACUAAACGUCAUGAUCGUAACAUCAACAACAUCAAACAAUCAUAAUCACCUAACAUACAAUCAUGGACAUUUCAACUAAUUGAAAUAAAGAAGAAAGAACGGGUUAAAGAAAUGGACCUUAAUAUCGCCUUUGAUGUAUAUUAUUCGACGAAAUAAAGAAAACCCACCUUCGAUAACUUUGACUUAAGCCUCAAUGACGAAUUUGUCCAACUUGGAACUGUGUAUCGCAAGAACACAGGGAGACCCGACCCGAUUCUGAUGAACCCACCCAACCUCGAGCUAGAGAUCGUGAGAAUAUGAGAAUCCGAGCUGGAUUUUGAUGGGUUCGGACAAAAUUGAAGACAGAUCAAGGUUCGCCAGACUUCUUUAUGUCAUCGUGACUCCGAUUGACUUCAGCGAUGACAGAAGACAAUAAAGAAAUACCAGAUGUGAUAUAUUCCGAUGGAUUCGACCAGAUUUGCGACAACUUUGUUGCGUUUCCGGCGAGUCUGUCACCAGAACAGUAACCCACCCGUGAAAUCUGUGUUCUUUCCCUCGAUCUAAGCCUUUUUGGUGUGUGCAUGCGAUUUAGUGUGUGGAUAUGGUUUUCCGAUGGAAGAGGGUCCAUUUUCCGAUCACUGUGUGUGUGAAUAUGUGUGCGUAUUAAUUGGUGGUGAAGACCCCUAUGUGUGCGUAUUUAGUGCAUUGGAGCUAUGCAUCUGUGCGUGAAAUUGAGUGGAAAAAAUUUUGUUCUCUAAUGGUGUGUGUAUGGUUCUGUGAGAUGUAUGGCAGUGACCAUAAAUGAGUGUGUGCAAAUGGUGUGUAAUAUAUUUUUCUUGAUGGAAAAUGGAAGUUCUGCCAAAUAUUCCCUGUGGCCCCCCUCCCCCAGUGUAUUGUGCUGGUGUAUUCCCAUAGGGUCAUUUGGUUUGAAAACAAG
This 6405-nucleotide long non-coding RNA is filed under the name Capsicum annuum. RNAcentral describes it as "long non-coding RNA (CANN_LNC007353)". The record is from RNAcentral. Lineage: Eukaryota; Viridiplantae; Streptophyta; Magnoliopsida; Solanales; Solanaceae.